CAAAAUCCCCAUCCAAAUAUUUGAACCCUCACCAAUCACACAUUCAUCGGCUGAUUUGCGAGAACGGACGAUUACGAAGGCACGAUGACUUUGAAAUUUUCUCUCAGCCUCUCCUUGUCUCAUUCUCAUAUCUGUGAGCUCUCGAUAUGGUGCCGCCUGCAUCGUCUUUCUUCCAUCGAUACCAUCAGUGGAAGCUAAAUCCCAAUUUAUCAAAUCAUGAUUACUUUAGUCUCAAAUUAUACCUCAAUGUCCUCUCUCGUCCCUAUUGGUUGCCAUUGCUACGGAAGUACUCAUUUUGUUUAUAUAUAUAUAUAUAUAUAUAUUUUAAGAUGGAGAAUCUGAUUUGGGGUGAGCAGUGGAGCCGGAGGGUCUUGUGCUGGGUAAUGGGUGGUGGGAUUAUUUUCAGAUUUUGAUAGGAUUAGGGAAUCACGUUAUGGGAUUAUGAUUUAUUGCUCAAAUAUUGAAUUGGAUUCUGACAUUAGAAUUUAUUUUUAACAUAUUCUAGUUCCUUUUAAAUAUUGAAUGGGAAUCCAAAAUGGGAUUAGGAUUUAGGAUUAUAUUCAAUCUGUGUUUCUAACUCAAAAGCUAAAUAUAAAGAACUACUUUGGUAAAUUUGAGUGUUUCCUUCUAAAUCUUCCUACGGUUUUAAGAAAUUUUGCGUAGGUGAACGAAAAUUUCUAAUUUCCCUUUUGCUAGAACAAUAUGUAUAAUGCUUAGCCAUAUAUGCUAGCUAGUACAUAAAUUCCCCUUUUGCUGCAACAAACAGAAAUUUUAUUGUUUGGCACGAUCAAUAAACAACAAAAGAUAGGGACUGCUGCAAGUUAACAAUUACCUCAUUAAAUGGCCAUAAAUUACAGCCCGUGCAUGAGAUAGAUUCUUCCCUUACUAAAAUACUUUUGAGGUCUGAUAAAUUUAUUUUUACAAUUUACAAAUUUGGUUGUUUAAACAUGGCUUGUUAGUUGUUGGCUCAAAAUCGAGAAGUAGCUGCCCUUGCUUUACUUGAGUCAGAUAUUAUGCUACAACUCAAGCUCCCUAAUGGCCUCCAAUUUCUUGCUUGCUUCUCUAUUUAAGUUGGAAUGAGACUUUUCGUGAGUUUCUUUUCUUCAUUCUAAGUUCACAAGUUGUGAAGAAAUCAAGUUCAUUUCUUUCCCCACUUAAAUUCCCCACGGAAUGCACAUUCUACAAAAGUCUUGCGCAUGGCGAACCACCAUUCGUGAAGGUAAUUGAUAAUCCUCAUUUUUUUUUUUUUUUUUUUGCAUAUCUACUUUGAGUUACUAAUUCUUUGAAGAUUAUACUUUACAAAUGCAGGACUUGCAAUUCUUUAGAUAUUGUUACUAAUUCUUUGGCUUACUACUGGAUUACUACAUAAAAAAGGACUUGCAAUUGUUGAGAGCAAUGAGGGUUGGGGUGAGCAGCACGACAUUAAAGCUUGGUACAAGGGUAUCCUGAAAUAUAAUUUCAAAAUGAAUUAGAUAAAGAGAAGUUGGUUAUGUUUUUCAAUAGCGUGCUUGCAUUUUUUACAUUAUGUAUUCAGGUGUAUAGGAGAAUAUUGUCAUGCUUCACGUUAUCUAUUCAAAAAUUUGUAAUGAAAUUAUCA
RNAcentral lists this long non-coding RNA (1597 nucleotides) under Olea europaea subsp. europaea. Lineage: Eukaryota; Viridiplantae; Streptophyta; Magnoliopsida; Lamiales; Oleaceae. The record is from RNAcentral.